RNAcentral lists this long non-coding RNA (452 nucleotides) under Nicotiana benthamiana. RNAcentral describes it as "long non-coding RNA (NBEN_LNC029457)". The record is from RNAcentral. Lineage: Eukaryota; Viridiplantae; Streptophyta; Magnoliopsida; Solanales; Solanaceae.
CUAGGUCUUGCGAGUGGCACAUGCAUAGGUUAAUAAAAAUACUUGGAAUAUUUUAAAGGGCAUCAGUAAAGGUUCAGACAAACAGUUACAACUUACAACUUUUACAGAAGUUAUAAGAAAUAUCAGAAACAUGAUCAACGCUCUCAAUACGACUAUAGGUUCACAGAUUUGAACAUGGAGUUCCUAAGGUGCUCAAUAGGAUCACAUUCAUAAGAGUAUUAACCUUAAAUAAACUAUUAUGUACAGGUGAUGUCAAUAAAGAGCUUCUUAUAAGAUUUAAAGACAUGGUUUCAGUUCAGGUGGACAGUAAGGAAAGGGCCUUAAAUAAACUACUAUGUACAGGUAAUGUCAAUAAAGAGCUUCUUAUAAGAUUUAAAGACAUGGUUCCAGUUCAGGUGGACAGUAAGGAAAGGACUGAGUACUAUUUUAAAAUAAAGGCAUGGGAUCAUGNN